UACGUAGGGGGCAAGCGUUGUCCGGAAUCAUUGGGCGUAAAGAGCGUGUAGGCGGCUUGGCAAGUCUCGCGUGAAAUCCUGCGGCUCAACCGCAGGCGGUCGCGGGAAACUGCCUCGCUAGAGUCCGGAAGAGGAGAGUGGAAUUCCUGGUGUAGCGGUGGAAUGCGCAGAUAUCAGGAAGAACACCGGUGGCGAAGGCGGGUCUCUGGGCCGACAUUGACGCUGAGGAGCGAAAGCGUGGGGAGCGAACAGG
RNAcentral lists this ribosomal RNA (253 nucleotides) under uncultured bacterium. RNAcentral describes it as "partial 16S ribosomal RNA". It matches the Rfam family "Bacterial small subunit ribosomal RNA", at positions 524 to 776 of the family's 1533-position model. The record is from RNAcentral.